RNAcentral lists this transfer RNA (73 nucleotides) under Tropilaelaps mercedesae. It matches the Rfam family "tRNA". From Rfam's summary of the family: Transfer RNA (tRNA) molecules are approximately 80 nucleotides in length. Their secondary structure includes four short double-helical elements and three loops (D, anti-codon, and T loops). Lineage: Eukaryota; Metazoa; Arthropoda; Arachnida; Mesostigmata; Laelapidae. The record is from Rfam by way of RNAcentral.
GGGGAUGUAGGUCAGAUGGUAUAGCGCUCGCUUAUCAUGCGAGAAACAAUGGAAUCGAUACCCAGCAUCUCCA